RNAcentral lists this long non-coding RNA (2101 nucleotides) under Medicago truncatula (barrel medic). RNAcentral's name for it is "long non-coding RNA (MTRU_LNC008403)". Lineage: Eukaryota; Viridiplantae; Streptophyta; Magnoliopsida; Fabales; Fabaceae. The record is from RNAcentral.
UAUUCUUGAAUCGUAAUUUUUUUUGUCUAUCUGAAUGUGUAGUAAAAUGUUGUGUACUUUUAUUUACUGUAUAGGGCAAGGAGAAAGAACAAUGUUGUAUUUGGAGAUAAUUUAGAAUCUGGUGCUGCUGCUGCAGGUACUUUUUCAACUAUCAUAUACCAUUGUACUUAUUAAUUCUAUAAUGCACUAUGAAAUUGUUGUACUUUUUCAAAAUCAAAGUUUAUGUUAUUUAUUUUAUUUAAAAACCAAUAGCAUAUAGCCAUGUUUGCGUUCUUCCAUUUCACGUUGCUCGUUGUUUCGACGGUAUAUAUUUAUUCCAUAUAAGUCUGUAACUUUCCGCGUUGGAACUGUCCACCAUCCCGCGUGUUUCUUCACUUUGAUGAUUUGCAGCUUCAUAAUUAUUCGCGUGGAACGAGUGUUAUGAUGCUAGAAAAAUGUUGCAAAUUCGUUACUAAACGAGCACUUAAUGUGUAUAUGUUUGGUAAACACAUGAGAAACUUUAACCUUAUGUUUGGAUCGAAGCGUAUGUUGUUGUAUAUGCUGAAUAGCUGAGUCCAACCCUUUCAUUUCGCGACACUUUUGAUGAAACUCUCAUUUUCGCGGUAGUUAUCCAUCAAAUAUCAAAUGGAUGAGAAUUAGUCUUAUAGUCAUUUACCACAAGUUACAUUCAUAUAAUGAAUGUCAAAUAUGUCUCAUCAUUCAGAGUUGAUAGAUUUUGAAUUGUGUAUGAUGUGAGCAAGGAGAAAGACUUGAACAAACAUCUGGCACAAAGAUUUGUAUAAUAAUGUAUCAUUUGUUGAUUGGUUUAGUUCACUCAUGUAAACAAGAGCUAGCUUUGGUAAGACAUACACGGAUUUCCCUUUAUACGAUAAAGUGAACUUGUUUCUUUGAGCUUUGUUUUCGAGUUUGGAGGAAAACGAAGGGGAUGGCUUUGGAAAAAAAGGAAUAUGUUAUUGUUCUAUAAUUUACAGUUAAGAUUAGAGCGUUAUUCCAGUGUUUAUAGACCUUCAAACACUGCCAAUGAUAUCAUAUAUAAUUAAUAGCAGUUACCAUGUUUUCCAUAAUGAAUUAGAAUAAAAGCAUAAUUUCUCAGCUUCAAAGAAAGCAGCAUCGAUAUCGUCAUGUGUUUUUGCAACAAAAAAUAUAAAAUAGCUUAUCAUGGUCAAACCGCACGUUCCUAUUGAAGCUCCAAUUUCUAGCUUCUAAAGUUCACAAUUAAAUUUAUGGGGAAGCGAGAAAAUGGAGAUGAACACGUAACAAAAAAUGAAAAUUACUAUCAAAAGGUUCAAAAAGCAAGCAGGAACUCCGAAAAAUCAAGCAUACAAGAAAAUUUCUAUUUCUCUGUGAACCUUGAACAUUUGGAACAUCAAUGGUGAUCUCGUUCGCAUGCACCAGAUAUCGACAAGGGAUUCACGCGUCAAAGGACUUUGUAAUUGUUGUGUACAAUAACAAAGCUAAAUGUCUUCAAUAGCUACCAAUAGCUACCAUGAUUUCAAAAUUAGGUAACGACAAUGGGAUAUACAUUUCCGCAUGCAUAAAAAGUCCCCUCAGCCAAAAUGCUAUAAAGACGUUCCUUCCAAUCUUGACUUGGUAUAGCCCAAACUAAUAAGUUUUUGUAUCAGUAUUUUCUCGGCUUCUAUCUGCAAUCCAUAAAAGUUGGAAAUCAAUAUUGAAAUUAAAAAUGAUGCUGAAAACCAAUAUUGAAUUUAAAAAUCAACAUGUGUGAAUACUGAUGUAAAAUAAGGCAGUUCGGCGAGCAAAGCUCUCUAAUGUGAUAUUUGGGUAGGAAGUCAAAUCAACUUUACAACUAUUAAUUAAAAGAGGUAAUUUAAAAAUUACAUUAACUGGAAAAAUUAAGAAUUAACCAUCAAUUAUAGGUGGCUAAUUGCAGUUUUCUGCCAUAUUAUCUAAUUCUAGUGCCUGAUACUAAGUAACUGCAGGUGCCGAGCUACUAUGAGGUGAUUCUCGCAACUAUGGUAGUGAUGAGUAGGGCAAAUGCUAUCUGAAAGAAUCAUGGUGAAAUUUCUAUACAGAGCAAUGCUAGCAACACUCACUUGUAAUACUUUCUCUCCAAUUUCAAAAGCCAGUUUUAGCAUGGAAC